Molecule: ribosomal RNA, 356 nt
Filed under: Nyctiphanes couchii
Lineage: Eukaryota; Metazoa; Arthropoda; Malacostraca; Euphausiacea; Euphausiidae
Description: partial 16S ribosomal RNA
Source: RNAcentral
UUUUAAAGGGCCGCGGUAUUUUGACCGUGCAAAGGUAGCAUAGUCAUUAGUCUUUUAAUUGGAGGCUUGUAUGAAUGGUCGGACAAGAGAUAAGCUGUUUCAAUGAAAUUAAUUGAAUUUAACUUUUAAGUAAAAAGGCUUAAAUAUAUUAAAGUGACGAUAAGACCCUAUAAAACUUAAUAAAGAAAAUUAAAAAAUCAAAUUAGUUAAUUAAAGGUUUUUUAGUUGUAUUUAUUUUAUUGGGGCGAUAAAAAUAAAAUAAUAACUGUUUUUAAAUUUUAAAUGAUGAUUCUCAGUUAAGUUAAAUGAUCCUUUAAUAAAGAUUAAAAGAUUAAGUUACUUUAGGGAUAACAGCG